Molecule: ribosomal RNA, 491 nt
Filed under: uncultured bacterium
Lineage: Bacteria
Description: bacterial SSU rRNA
Rfam family: Bacterial small subunit ribosomal RNA
Source: RNAcentral
GAUGAACGCUAGCUACAGGCUUAACACAUGCAAGUCGAGGGGAAACGAUAUUGGAAGCUUGCUUCCGAUAGGCGUCGACCGGCGCACGGGUGAGUAACGCGUAUCCAACCUGCCCAUCACUUGGGAAUAACCUUGCGAAAGUAAGACUAAUGCCCAAUGACAUUUAUAGAAGGCAUCUGAAAUGAAUUAAAGAUUUAUCGGUGAUGGAUGGGGAUGCGUCUGAUUAGCUUGGUUGGCGGGGUAACGGCCCACCAAGGCGACGAUCAGUAGGGGUUCUGAGAGGAAGGUCCCCCACAUUGGAACUGAGACACGGUCCAAACUCCUACGGGAGGCAGCAGUGAGGAAUAUUGGUCAAUGGGCGAGAGCCUGAACCAGCCAAGUAGCGUGCAGGAAGACGGCCCUAUGGGUUGUAAACUGCUUUAUAGGGGAAUAAAGUGAGCCACGUGUGGUUUUUUGCAUGUACCCUAUGAAUAAGGACGGCUAAUUCCGUG